This is a long non-coding RNA of Hyaena hyaena (striped hyena), 113 nucleotides long. RefSeq lists it as uncharacterized. NCBI's taxonomy places the organism in Eukaryota, Metazoa, Chordata, Mammalia, Carnivora, Hyaenidae. The record is from RefSeq and is a predicted model, not a curated record. The transcript is spliced from 2 exons.
CCCAAGAUCAAGAAUUGUGUGCUCUACUGAGUAACAGAAGAUUCGGAUGAAUCAGGAUGGGACUUCAGUUCUUUUCUACGGUGUGAAUAAAAAGUCAACUCUGCCUUUUUUGA